Molecule: ribosomal RNA, 559 nt
Filed under: uncultured bacterium
Lineage: Bacteria
Description: bacterial SSU rRNA
Rfam family: Bacterial small subunit ribosomal RNA
Source: RNAcentral
CCUACGGGAGGCAGCAGUGGGGAAUAUUGCACAAUGGGCGAAAGCCUGAUGCAGCAACGCCGCGUGAGCGAUGAAGGCCUUCGGGUCGUAAAGCUCUGUCCUCAAGGAAGAUAAUGACGGUACUUGAGGAGGAAGCCCCGGCUAACUACGUGCCAGCAGCCGCGGUAAUACGUAGGGGGCUAGCGUUAUCCGGAAUUACUGGGCGUAAAGGGUGCGUAGGUGGUUUCUUAAGUCAGAGGUGAAAGGCUACGGCUCAACCGUAGUAAGCCUUUGAAACUGAGAAACUUGAGUGCAGGAGAGGAGAGUAGAAUUCCUAGUGUAGCGGUGAAAUGCGUAGAUAUUAGGAGGAAUACCAGUUGCGAAGGCGGCUCUCUGGACUGUAACUGACACUGAGGCACGAAAGCGUGGGGAGCAAACAGGAUUAGAUACCCUGGUAGUCCACGCCGUAAACGAUGAGUACUAGCUGUCGGAGGUUACCCCCUUCGGUGGCGCAGCUAACGCAUUAAGUACUCCGCCUGGGAAGUACGGCCGCAAGGUUGAAACUUAAAGGAAUUGACGG